UUUUAUACUCCUCCUCCAUCAUUUUCUCCCUUUAUUUAUUUAUUUAUUUAUUUAUUUAUUUAUACUAAUUCUCAUAAUUAUAUGAUUUCUUAUAUAAAAAAUGUGACACAUUUAGAAUUUGAAAUAGUCCUAUAUAUAUCAGGUAUAAUAGGGUUAAACCUCUUAAUUCAUCUAUAGUAUUUUGGGCGGUGCCUAGACCCAAAAAGAUAAGAGAGUUAAGCUUGCAAGGACUAAGUUGUUCUAGAAUUGAUGACCUAUUUGCGAAGCGGGGCAUCACAGUUGGUAUCAGAGCCAAUCACUAGCCGAAAGUAUGAGAUGAGUUUAAUCUGAGCUAGGGUCAUACAGUGGACAGAGCAUGGCUCCCCAACUGACGACCGUUGUGAGUGGAGUGCAACUCCCCACAAAGUCUGCAGGUCGACUAAGGCUAGCGAGAUGAGUCUCACAUUGCCUGAUGAUUUUGAGUGCGCAUGAGUCUGACAAGAACGUCAGGGCUUAAAGGUGAGAGGAAUAUGGCACUCCUAGAAUUGGAACACCGAUCGACACCGAUUGACGAACACGAACGAAGUAACAAUUUGACAUGUAUCAUUCUGAGUUUCAAUCUCAUGAUACAAUCAAACUUAAACAAGAGGCGAAAAUGAAUCACUUUUGUAUCAUUGCACAAAUAAUAUAUCCAACAUUACAAAGAAAAUACUGAAGCAAAAGCAAAUGCAUCAUACAAUAUUCAAAAGAGAGAGAUUCAUUUUUGGCUUCUACAUGUUAGAAACAUAUGAAGUAUCAGUUACAAAAUAGAUAUAUAUAUAUAUAUAUAUAUAAUAAAGGAGCACGAACAGAGCUGGGGCCAACUCGCUCGUGUUUGGCCAGUUGACAACUUUAUUUUUACCAUAUCAAGUUAUAGAUACCCUCAUACCCAUGCAUCUUCAUGUUUCAGGCCCCAAAUUCGACUCCGAGAGGGAUAAAAAUACGGAUUCUGAAGUUUAUGGAAUCUACUGGCUGUGUCAGGAAUAAGAAAGAAUAGCUUAUUCCAGAACUAAACGGUAGCUGUACAGUUCAAUAUAACCGCUUUUAGCAUCCGAAAUGGAAGCGUACUUUUCCCGAACUCGCUUAAAUAAACAAUAAUCUCAUGAAAUUUCAUGAAUACAGCCACAAACACAAGAACAUUAUUAUGAAGCCAUUGUUUCAAAAUCUGGAGGAGCAAACCACCCCAGCUCUUCAGCAAUCCUCCUGACCCUCUCCUUUUGGCCUUUGGAGUCACCUAAAGCUGUUGUGAAUGGGUAAACAUAUGUGACCUUUGUGGCCAUGGACCUGUAGGCCACAACAUGAUCCCUUUUCACCAGGAACUCGAGCACGUCGCGCCCGAACCCCCCGUCGACUUCCGCCUGCAGGUAAUGGCCUGAUAUGUAUGUAUGUAUGUAUGUAUGUAUGAUAUUAGGAACACUUUCCAGCAUGAAAAACAAUGAAAAGAUGAAGAUUGAACCCCAAAAGAAGCAAAAUAUAUAGUGUUCUUAUUUAUUCAAUCUAGUUAUGUUUCAAUGGUUCUUCGUCGGCAAUAGGUGAGUUUUGCAUCAGCAAGAUGAAGAUCUUAAAAGGAUUGUAAAGAAAAUAUAACUAACUGCAACAGAUCAAGUUCACAUGGCAGGUCCCCUACUUUGCAGCAAAUUGGUGCUCAGUAUAUAAGCAGAUUAUUGGCAUGUUUAUGGCUGGCUCUAUUUAGUAAGAAGGUUUAGAAUGUCCGAAACUCAGUUACGAAACAAUCAAGUCAUGUUGAAUUAUAUGAAACAACCGUUUUCCUCUAAAAGCUUAAGCUAUCAAAAAAUAGUGUUUAUAUAUUUUAUAGUAAACACUCCUCCUCGGCCUCCUGCUCUGAUACUAUCUUAAAUGAUAUGAAACAGCCGUUUUUCUCUGAAACUUGAAACUACCGGAGAACAACAUUUAUAUAUUUUCUAUUCGACACGAAGAAUGUUUAGUAAUGUUGAAAUUUUAUAUAUCACCAAAAUAUACAAAAUAUUGCCAUGAUAGAUACAAGGAAAUCUGUUGAUUACACCGAUCAUAUGAUUUUGUAUUUUCUCAUUGAAUGAUCAGGAACUCAGCAAUAAGACCACUAACUCAUUCAAAAAUUAAACAAAUCCUUAGUAAUUUUUUUGCCACAUAGAUGCUUUCAAAUUUUUUGUAACAAAUUCUUCUUUUUUCCCCCCCUGUUCUUUUAGGGGAAGAAAAUAGGGCUAUAUCCUAUUUAAAUAGGAUGUAGAGGGAAAAGGGUUAAUUGCACAUCAUUUUCUCAAUUUGGUCCCUAACUUUUCCUCUUUUGGCUAGUAGGUUCCUUGCCUUUAUAUGUUGUCGUAGUUAGGUCCCAAUCAUCGAAAUUUUUGUUAAUUUUGACGAAAUAGGUCACGUCAAAUAUAAUAAAGCUCUGCCUACUCAUAUAGAUCACGGUUAUGGUUCAGUGACCCUGGGUUAAUCUACGAGAUCAAGGUGGUUGUAGGUGCAGAAGACGACAUUGAGGGUAGUGAGAUUGGGCUUGACGCAAUGGACGUGCAUACUUGAAAAGAGGUUAGGGAUCAGAGUGAAAAAAAUUGAUAAAGGUUAGGGACCAAUGGUGCGAUUGGAAGGGUAAACUUGUAAUUUUAUAUAACAUACAAGAUAAUCCUGCACCAUUUAUAAUGAUGCUAUAUUACCGACCAGAUUACAGACUGGACGAACCAAAUGCAAUAAUUCUAACAGGAUUGCCUGUAAUCCUGGCUGGAUAACCCGAACCUUAGACAAAGGUUGGGGACCAAUAGUGCAGUUAACCCUAUACUGAAACUUUGAGCACAUACCGCCGUCCUAUUCUGUGAACAAAAUAGCACUGUAAAAUUAGAACUUUUUUUUUGGGGUCUCUUUCAACCAAUAUUCAGCCCCAUUUGAUAUUGAGGGCCAUCUACCUGCCGGCGGGCAAAAAGGGGUCGGGAUAAAAGAAUACAACGAUGAACUUUUCUAUUUCCCGUUGGAACCGUAAAAAAUAUAUAUCAUAACUAAUUUAUCACGAUAUGCGGAACGUAAUAUUACGUGCGGAAAUAAACAUGAUAUUUCCCCAUUAUUCUUUCUAACUGUAUGCAUCGCAAUAUUUCCGCAAUUCCAAACAGAGCCUUAGUGCAAUUGAGAACUAAUCCACUAAGAUUAAGACUUACCAGUUGGGGUUUCUUCAUCAACAUUGAUCUUCACAUUCCUCUGUGUCUUCAGUACAGCAUCCCUCAGUUUCUGAAAAAGAAAAAAAAGUCAAACACUUAUAUAUAUAUAUGAUAAAAAUAAAUAAAAUUUAGCCAAAUUACAGACUAUUUUGAUUCGACGAUCUAAUCUUUGAAAAAUAUUGAUGUUCCCACUCAAUGUUUCAGCUUGUUUGAUUUAAGUCACUUAACGACUCUUCUGAUAAAAAAUUUAAGCUAAUUUCUUUAAUAAACUUAUAGUUGCAUGAAUGACAAAAAAUAUACUAACUAAAAAUCAUUAACCGACUCGAAUCAAAUAAAUUAAAAGGUUCUAUAAUAAUAUCAAAAUUUUUAAAGCUUUAGUCAAAUCAAAAUGCGCGGCAGUCGAGCUAAAGUUUGAUACAUUUUUCUUUUCACCUUUUCUUUUCAUUCUCUUGAGAUUUUUUUUUUUUUUCCUCUACCUGAAUGGCAUUAUCUGCAGAUUUUUCGGGAAUCAACAGCGGCGAAGCGAACGACGAUGAUUUCGGAUUCGUCGAAACGCACCCGGGAUUAAUUGAUGGACAAGGCCUGAUUUUCCUGCAUCAGGCCCCAAAAUCAACCAAAAAGAAGGCACAUAUAUAUAUAAUUAUGCUACUAUACUAUCGAUAGUACCAAGUACUUGGUAUUAUCGAGUUUUCAGCCGUUGAAUGAAAAUGUGUCUGGUUAGGAGGACGGCGGUCUCCUAGAAUUGAGUGGGUGGUUAGUUGAAUAGUAUAAUCUAACGUGUGAAAAUGAUCAAAAUAGUAAAUCUAACAGCAGAAAAUUUUUGAUACUAUCAAUAGUAUAGUAGUCAGACUCUCUCUCUCUCUCUCUCUCUCUCUCUAUAUAUAUAUAUGUUUUCAAUAAAUGUGUAGAAUUAUUAUUAUUUGAGGGAAGAAGAAGAAGAUUUGUACCCAUUUUCCAAUCCCAGUUGCAGCAGGUUCUUGGACUGGGAGUAUGGGGUUGUGGGAUUUUGUAGAGAGGAAUCACUCAUAAAAGUGGGAGAAGGGAUUGCAUGAGAAGGUAAAGGAGAGUUCAAAGCUAGGGUUAGGGCUAAAGAAAGAGGGAAAAAACUAGCCGUUAGGGUUUGAAUCUUGGGGUAAGGAAUAGUAGUAGUAGUAUUAGAGCAGGGGAAUGGGGAGCAAUUGGGAACUCUUUGUAGAGACAUUUAUUUAUCUCUCUUUCUUUUCUUUUUUUUUCUCCCCUUAGCUUUAUUAUCCUUUUGUAUCAUAUGUUUAUGUGGUGCUGUGGUGUGUGGGUUAUGUUGUUGUGGUGGUGGGUCAAAUUGGCAGAAGCAGGGAGAGUGAUCAGAAAAGGAGUCUGAGAAUUUGAAAAGAGCGACUGCUAUGUUUUUACAUGUGAAUUUUAGGGCAUGUUUGAAAACAUUACAAUUUUAUAAGAGUUGAGAAAGCACGGAAGCUCAAUAUAUUUAUUACUUUUUAGUUAUCUGAUCGUCUCAAAAUCCGUACAGUAUUAGUAACGAUGAUUUAAUGGGAUAUGCCGUUAAUAAUGUUGUAUAAAAUUUGAGUACAUGUACAAAUACUCCUCUCCUUUCAAAAGCACAGGAACUCAACUCUAUAAUAUAGUAUUGAACUGUUCUUAUUGUAUUUUAGAAUAUCAAAAAAUGACAAAAUACUACAAAAAUGCCGUGAUUUUGUUGUAAAAGUAAAACAAGCUCAAAUGUUCUGAAUCUCUGCGUUUGCUUAUUACUUACUAUCGUAAUACAUGUAUAUUAAUAUAGCAUUUCUAUUUCUGCUAUAAAAUAUUAUUAAACAUAUAUAUUAAUUAAUAUAGUAUUUCUUUUCAAAUAACAUUACUCCAAUAGAGAAUUUUAUCAAUUAGUACUACACUCUGCGACGGAGAAAAUACAUGACCCCCUAGUACAACUUCUUGGGUCUCAUCAAAUAUUUGUUUUGCUGACUGCUGUUUUCCAGAGAUGAGAAAUAAUUUCAGCAGCCAGCCAGGUCAAAUAAGCACAAAGGAACAGUCUGGCCUGUAGAGCUGCUGCUGCAAAACUUUGAAGAAAAUUUUUCCAAACAAUUUUCUGAACUGGAUCUGCAAAGCUAACAACUGGGAGAGCAAUAUCACAACUGGGAGAGCAAUAUCAAGAGAAAAAUAACAACAAAAAUAAUCAGACUCUAACAUAUGAGUAACAAGAUUGCAAAGGGGCGGAUAUAGGAGAAUGCAAUGAUACAAAAUGGUUCGAGACCAAACUGGAACUAUGUUUUGUUUUGUUACAUCGUGAUGUCAUCUCUUCUUGAAGCCGUACUUCUUCCGCUCGUAGAAGAGGUCGGUCUUGGCGCUGCCGAGGUUGACGAUCUUGGGGCAGCCGUCGCGGUCCUUCUCCUGCUGCGUGCACUCCUUGCAGUAGUAGGCGUCGGAGAUGCCGACGCCGCCGCAGAUGACGCACCGACCCUGGAACGAGCCGUAGUUGCACUCGUCGCACACGCGGACGAGCGUGCACGGCCGGACGUACGAGUCGCAGAUCACGCACUUGCCGUCGCACUUCUCGCACAGCCGCCCGAUCGCGAUCCCCGGCUGCUUCCGGCACAUUAUCAGGUCGGGGUGGUGCUUAGCCAUGAUAUCUGGUCUGAAGCUCUAGCAAUGAAAGCCCUAUAGGAUAAUGAGAAGGUAUGAAAGGAGAGAAGGGGAAAAAAAAAAAAAAGCAGUGGGGAAAGGGGGGGGGAGUGGGCAAGGCCCAGUUACAGUGACAAACAUGAUUUUGACAAUGACAGUUUUAAUGGUGUUUCAACAAAGAAUUCUUAUACAAAAACCAUGGUAGUAACCCUAGAGAAUGGGAAGAGCUAUACAAAGCACUGGGUGGAAAAUUGCGCUAUAAGAGUAUAUCACAGGUAGGAAUUUCUCAAGUUUCCCCAAAAUAUAAAAUAAGGGUCAAGCUUCUGUUCCGCCAGCAAUUGGAGAUUAGAUGCAAUAGAACAAUAGAGUUAAUGAAACUAACAGCAUAUUUAGCAUUCUUUAAGUUUUUCACUUUUGUUUACUAGUUUGGGGUUCAAUGUCGUUAAAGGCAACUACUAUGUCGCAACUUCUCUUUGUUUCUUUUUUCUCCCUAACAUUGAGUCAAAAAACUAAUAAAGAAUAACAAAUCUAAAGACGAACAUCACUAGGUGACCUUCAUGUUUCCACUUAGAUUCGGAUAUUCAAUCAUGUUUCAUCCUACACUGCAUGUCCCUGAACGAGUACCGAAUGCUACCAAACAAAACAGUAAAAGGGAAACAACUUCUACAGGUCAGUCAACCAGCAUCAACGUAACAGAUAGACAAAUGAAGCAUGAAGUUAACUCAUAAACAAACUCAACAAAAAUCAAACUGCGAGUAACUUAAAUAAUUAUAUAUAUAGAAUCAAACAAAAAGACAUAACAGCUACAUGCAUUGCAUCUACAUCAUAACUACUAUGGAAAUCAUAGCAACAAGCUUACCGUGUGCUUUGAAAUAAACAAUGAAAAGGUGCUUACUGUAGCCAGUAUUACAGUAUAAGAUACCCACGUUUGAGAAAACCUUUUUCCCAAGUAUAUGGUGUACUAUAGUUAGCUUAUAUAACACUCUUUGCAGGUACAUCUCCUAAGCUAAACUUAAUGAUUGUUUCGACUUCAAAAUUAUUUGCUAUAUUAUUUACCAAAUAAUUCAUUUAGUUAUUCUGGUAAUCACUUGGAUCAAACUUCACAUGUUUGCUAUGAAGAUUUCCCUAACAAGCUAGCUGUCCUCUAUGAUUUAUGAUGUGCACAAAAAGGAACCUCGACUUCUUAACUUCUUUUUAGCUAUAUAUGCUCUAUUUAAACAAAUGGCAUCAAGUGACGGCAGAAACUGAAACUACUAUUUGCAGUCUCACAAACACCAAGCAUCUACCUACCCAAUACCCAAUAUUUGGAGUGAGAAAAUGAGAAUCAAUAACUGCUCUCAUUUGAAAAUUAAGACCCUAAACGAGAAAUAACAAACAAAAUCAUUACAGGAUAUAUACCACCAAAAUUAUAUGUGAGUUGGUUAGUCAGAACUGUGACAAAAUCAUCAUAAAUUCAUUAUAGAGGGAAGAUCCCAAUAAUUCUCUUUGAAUCAUUACAAUAUGAAGAUUCAGAGAGUUCUCUUUGAAAUCACCACUGUUAAAAUAAGCUCAGACAAUUCAGGGAAACGAUUCAGUUCAAACAAUUCAGGAAAGAAACAAAUUCAUUCAUUUGCUUUGAUUCGACCAACUUUAUCAUUUGUCAAAACUAAUUGUUUCAUUAGCUAAUAGUAGUUAUUGAUUAUCGAAAAUUUUAGUUUCAUCAACUAGAAAGCAAGCAGAGCCGUUAAAUUUAAUAGUCAUAGCUGUCAAAUUCAACAAAAUCCCUGUUUCAUCUGACGUAAAUAAUUCACAUCAAAACAAUUUAAAGUUGAUACGAUAUCAAUCAAGGAAAUAAAGUUUAGGAGCCUACUUCAUUAUGGCCUAUAGUUGAGGGGGUCUCCAUACAUCUUAAUGAUCAUCAAAACGAACAUGGAGAUACAUAGGGAAUCAAAAUCUACAAGGAAUAACUCUUAUCCCAAAACAUAAUUCAAGUUACCGGUCGUAAAUUAGGGUUUGUAAGGCCCUCUACUACGAUGAUCACGUCAACAAUCCCCAAAAACAGUGCAUCAGUAGAAAGAGGGAAUCAUCAAUCUCGUAUCCAAAACAUAAUCCAGAGCACAAAUAGAAGAGGGGAAAAAAAAAAAAUCUAAAAUCCACAAGCAAUAAUUCCUCUUACACCAAAACACAAUCCAAAUAAUAAUAAACAAAAUCAGGGAUCCUAAGAAACAACGCUAAAGAUAAUCACAUCAAACGCCCCAAAAAAAUCGCGUCAUUCGAACAAAAAUUUCGACUCACCUCUCAAAAGCAAACCAAAUCGUUGAUCUCUAAUCCACAGAGUAUAGGAAGCACCAAAAAUCGAAAAAAAAGAGAAAAAAUCCACAAGCAGCAACUCUUAUUCCCACACGUAAUCCAAGUCACAGAUCAAGCAAAUUAGGGAUUCUAACAAGUUCUACUACAAAUAAUCACAUCAAAAACCCUUAAAAUUACUAUUAAUAGCAUAUAAAUCACGACUCACCUCUCAAAAUCGUGUGCAAAAUCGUCGAAGUCGAACUCUCCUCUCCUCAGAUCGAAACCCUUCUCCAACGCUCUCGAUCUCUCCCGAAUAUAUUAUAUUUUAGAUAUAAAUACAAAUAUAAAUAUUUAUAGUAUUUGUUUCCGAUUCCGCUACUCCUCCACCUCGAUAUUUGCAAUCCCACACUGCCUACGUGGCAAGAUAUGAACCGCAAGUUAGUAGAGCGGGACCCACCACGCCUUGGAGUAAUAACCAAUCAUUAUUCACCACGUGGAUUAGUAUUUAGUUCUUCUUCUCCCUCCGCGUGGUAUCAUACUAGGGAUUCCGAAUCGAGGUUCGGGGGGUUUAGGGUUAGGGCUAGGGUUAGGGUUUUGGAAUCGACAUUAAAGGGGGGUUUUGGGGAAGGAGAGAGUAUCGGGAGGGGAAGAGUGUUUAGGGUUAGGGUUAGGGUUUGGUAUGGCGGGGAGGAGCCGGAAGGAGGCGGCGGCGGAGGGGCAGAGGCACCUGGAGGAGACGAUCGCCGCGGCGUUCCAGAUCCUCUCCUCCAUGAACGACGAGCUCUGCAACCCCGCGCUCUGGUCAUCAUCCUCCUCCUCCUCCUCCGCCGCCGCCGCCGCCGCCCAUCCUCCGCCCACCGGCGCCGGCGGCGGAGGCGUCGACUCGUCCGACUCCUCCUCUCACAUCUCCGACGGCGCCGCCGCCACCGCCUCCGCCGCCUCCGGCGGAGGAAGCGGCGGAGCUCUCGACGACGCCCGGCACCGGUACAAGUCGGCGGUCGCCGCGCUACGCGCUUCCAUCGCCGCCAUUUCCGCUUCUACUCAGGUAUAGACGAACAAAUCACCACAAUUUCGUUAUGAUCUUUUUAGGGUUAAUCGCAUUGCUAAUUCUCGAACUUCUACAAAAAAGUGAAGUUUCACUUUGAAACUCUAUCAUAGAACUUAAUACUCGCUGAAUACCUACAAUUGUAUCAGAUUGGCUCAUUGACAAUAAAAAAUGAUCCGGAUGUUAGAUUAAGGUUUUCUUUUUCUUCAGAUAAUUAUGUACAUAAAUUUCCUCCAUUGUAUGUAUAUAGUAUGUAUCAUGCGCUUUCUUCGUGCUUUCGAGUUGUUUUCGAUAAUGAAACAUUCGAUUCGACGAUCGGUUUCGUCACUUUGCUUUCGAAAGAUUUUCGCACUUUCAAAUUGUUUUCGAUGAUGGGAUAUCCGAUUCGACGAUAAGCUCUGUUAAGCAUGAUCUACUUUAUUAAAACUAUCUAGAAAUUAAAUUUUAUAGUUUUUCGAUAUCGUUUACUAAGUGAUCAAAAGGUCUCAAAAAUAGCUAAUUUAAUGGCUGAUGUGACACUUUUGUACAUUCAACAGUAUAGAACAAUUCAAAUUUAGUAAAAUUUUAAUAAAAAAAUUUUACUUACCAUCAAGAGCAAGAUCAAUACUUUCGAUUUGAAAUUUGAGUUUUUAUUACUUUUUUUUUUUUUUCAGUCUUUCAUUUUGAGGCUACUUGUUUGCUAGACAAACUAAGUAAAAAAAAUUAUAAAAUUUGAUUUUUAGUUAAUUCCAACACUUUAGAUCAUGUCUAACACCGAUCGCCGAAUCGGAUGUCCCAUCAUCGAAACCAACUAGAAAACACAGAGGCUUCCGUACUAUCAAAAGCAUAAUAGCUUAGUUCUAUAUAUAUGUGUGUGUGUGUGUGAUUCCGUCAACUUAUCUUGGGCUAUCCAUGCAUUAACUUCAUCCUUGGUCUUCUUCUCCAGUUAAAACGUCGGUAGAUAUGAAAGAAGUUGGAAAUUUAAAGGGAUAAAUUUCACCACUUAAACUUUUUAACAUAUAUAUGUAAUUACCCUUAUUCUUUUUAAACUAUGUACUCUCUAAAGAUGCAAAUUAGAAACUUUCGGCCGAAAUGUUUUUAUAGUUUAUGUUGAUGCAAUUCUUGUUCUUAUCUCAUAUUUGAUUAAAGGAGUAAAGGGAGAUGGUUUGUUUUAUAGUUGUAUUUUGACAUUUUCCGAUGUUGUUAAUGCUGUAGGAGGUGAGCACAUUGGAACCAAAAGCAGAUCAAGUAGAAAUCGAGAGGCUCGAAGAGCGUGCAUCGGCCCUCCGAAAGGUACUCCUUUUCUGUUUGUGAAUAUUAUGUGAUUCAUAUGCUUUAUUCUUGCUUGCUUGUUUGUUUGUUUUUCCUGCGUUUUGUGUCGGAAAUGUUAUGAUAAUCGCUUGUGGCUAUUAAUACCUUCACAUGCCAUUUUGCAUCUUCGCGUUCUAAAUCUCAUUGAAUUAGUUUGAUCUUUUCGGCUAAAAAUGGUAUCAAAGCCAAAUCUAAGCUCUUCCAAUUUUAUGAAGCUACGAAUUUUUUACUAUUUUUCAUGUUUAGUAGGUUAAUUACGAAUUAGAACUUCGUGGACUGAACUUACGAGCUCAAUGUGUAUCUUGUUCGAUCGUGUGACUAAACUUUUGCGAGAAAUUUAUUGUUAACACUUGCUACCAUGGAACUGUAUAUCGAAAAUGAGAUUCCUCCAAAAGGUGUAGAUUCUUGAAGAUGAACAUCUUCAUGAUUCUUUCCCUCUUGAGUGGGGGAAAAACAUCAUAUUCAACUUCAUCAUAGGGAGGAAAAAGAAAAAAGUUGCUUACGUUGCUCGCUUAUCCUUACUAAUAUUGAUAACAUGUUGAGUAGAUAUUAGUCGACGAUUUCUCCUCGGUGAGCACAAUAUGAGUUACAGCGUCAUGCUCAUCAGGAUAGAAAUAACCAAAUAUGAGAUAAAUAAUCACUAGAUAAUAAUUGUCCUUAUUAUGUUUAAACGUGAACUUUCGAUUGCAGGAGAUCGAAAUCAAGAACAGGCAUUUGAAGCUCCUCAUCGACCAACUACGCAACCUGAUCGCCGACAUAUCGAUGUGGCAGAGCCCCUGUUCCGUGUGAAAUCGCGAGUUUCGCGGCCGCUCGGCUAUUCAGAGGAACAGAAUUGUAUUCCUUUGUAUGUUCUCUCUUCUAAAGUGUUGUUAUGUGUUUACAGUGAUUCUCACAUGUGUAUAAAAGCAGAAUAUUACGGAGAUUUUUGGCUCUCUUUGCCUUCGUUUAUUUGUUAGAAAUAAAUUCAGCUAGAAAUUUGUUUGCUAUUCUCCUUUGUUUGAUGAUGUUAGAAGAGCUUUUUAGGGUGGAUUUUAAUUAAAAAGAAUCUCAAUGUUGCUUUUGCUGUAGGGGAAGCUGUUGAGUGCAUGUUAACGAAACAAACACUAGGUUUUUUCAGAAAAAAAAUUCUCUUUUUAGAAGUGCUUUUUUGCAAACUCUAAAACAUCUGAAUUUUUAAUUUUGUUUUUGUUUUUGUUUUUGUUUAUAGGUACUUUUUUUAAAAUAAAUUAGGUUCAAUCUAUCGAUCUGGUGAAGUUUACUAGAAUUGAAGGAAACAAGAAACAUGUCCGCAAGACGAAAAAUUAAAAUUGCAUUGAAGCAAUACUUGUGAUAAACUUCUAAUAUAUGAAAUAAUAACAAUCAAUCGAAAAUAUAUAUAAUAGUUAUAAAUAAAAAGAUAUAUAGUUUUAUCAAACUUAAAAUUUUUAGGUUCAGUUGUUUUGAUACAAAUAGUUGGUAAUGGUAGAAGGGGUUAGAUUGAAAGGAAUAAGAGACGAGGGAGAAGGUAGGAUACAAGAAGUGCAUUGAUCGCACAACACUGAUCACACGAUUGCGGGAGAUCCACAAUCGACGAGAAGGCAGGUACCUCACAGGUAGAAUUUCGACAACGGAAAACACAAAGAGGAGGCAGGGACUAAAAAGUAGAGGAGAGGUAGGAGAAAACGCUGAUUUUGCCGCGAGGAAGAAGCGACAAUGAUUAAGAUGACGUAGAAGACGAUCUCGGCGAAAGCAAGAAGCGUCGACGAUCACACCUGAAAGAAGAAUACCACACCAGCACGGUCACCAAGAAUCACGUAUAGAAGACGCGGCGAUUCUAAAAAGUUGAAAGGUCUUCUUUGGAUUUAGGUUUAUUUUUAUCGGCGAAAAAGAUGUUUUGGGUUGUUGAACCAUCUAAAUCUAAAUAAUUUAAGCCCGAACAGACACUAACUUACAAAAAUAAAAGAAAAUUACAUUCAAAAAUAAAAAAAAGAGUUCUAGUUGCUGCAUCAAACAGCACUUACCUGCAGUUCCAGUCUAACAAAAUAAAUAGUUUUGAGUGUCAUAUUUGUUACUGUCUGAGUAUUAAUGUUCAACACACUGCUUAUGUUCUACAUGAAAUUUAGCACUAAUUCGACUCCGAAUCGGCAAAAAAAAUGGGACUAAAUCCAAAUAUUUGAUGCACUUAAAAGUAGCAUGCUCAAAACACAAAUCCAUCACUGGCAAAUGAAACAUCAUCUGUGCUUAAUAAUCAUACCGAAUUCUAGCCCUCGUCGUUCAGAACCAAUUUCGGCAGAUCCCCGCGAGCGAGCUCAGGAACUCCCCCUUCAAUCUGCAGCUUCUGCUUCUUCUUCUUCUUUCGCCACUUUAUCGACCCCUUGAUCGCGUCCCCGACAGCCCGCAGGGGGUUGCUGAACUUCUCCUUCACCGCGAGGAGGAACGAGACCUCGUUGAACUGCCAGACGGCGAUCCCGACGACGAUCACGGAGAGAAGGCAGUGUGUUAUGAAGUUCUGCCUCUUCACUCUCCUCAGAUCCUUGGCCAUCUCAUUUAGAGCUGCUUCUUCAGUUCUGCUCUUUCUGACAUUUCUGACAUUUCUGACACUUGCUGAUUCGGGCUUCGAUUCGGGCUCGGGCACUUCUUGCUCAUGUGAAUUCUCAAAUGAACGGAUCGAAUCGCCGUCUCUUUCGACCGAAUCCAACUGUUGAUCCGAUAUCGUGAUUGAACAAAUGUUCAAAAUGGAUUCAAUUGUGUGAGACAAAAAAGAAAAGGGUUCAGUCUCUAAGCAAAAUUGGUGCAUUGUGAAAGAUAAUGAAAAUCCAAUACACCAGUAUCUUGUUGAUUCUGAUAGUAACUUAGCUAAUUUGCUGAGGUUUUUGAACUCCACAUGUACUCUCGAGAAUAGUGAAGAUGAUAAUAAAAUGCAAGGAAAUUUAAUUAACGAGAAACUUCUGUAGCCAAUUAACUUUUAGUCCAGUUGGAAGGUAUUCUUAAUUUCAGAGUGCAGGACAGACCCUAAACUCAUUUUUCUUUGUAUUGACAGAUAAAUUUAUUAAAUUCCGUCUAAUCUACUUUCGUACUGACCUAAGCAAACAAAAUAGUAUACCAAUUUCCUCUCAAACAAGUUGAACCUGAAGUAGACAAGUUUUUGAAUAACACAUAACAAUUCAAACUUGCAAUCUUUUGUUGGUAUUUAAUGAUUUUGAUGCAAAAGAAAGAAAAAAAAGAAAACACAGAAUAGAAUGUGAAUUAGGUAAGAAACCUUGAUUAGUAAUCUGGAUAUUAGAAGGUCUUCUUCUUCUUCUUCUGCCUCAAAACCCUUCUGCUUCUGCUUCUGCUUUUUCCCUUCCAUGAGCUGCUGAAAAGCUUCUUGUAUAAGCUCCUUUUUCCUUCUUUUCUUCCUAUCCUCUUCACUAAUAAUUGACUCCAUAGUGAGGGAUAAAAAAUUUUACCAUUUUGUCCUACAUGUAGUUUUUGCACUUAGAUCCUUGAGAAUAACAAUUUACAAACAUAUCCCUAUACGAAAGUUGUACAAAUAAGAUUCUAAAAAUUAGUAUUUAUAUGUAUAAGAUUUUAUUAAGUGUUGAUUUAUUUAUUUUUUAUAUAUGAAUCCUCAGUUUUGGGACAGGUGGCAGCGAGCGCGGAGGCGCGGGCAGGGGCGAGCGCGAGCACGGGCGCGCGGGGCGGGGCGCCGCGUGGCGUGGGCGGGGGCGGGCGUGGGCAGGCGAGGAAGGUCGGCCCGGGCGUGCGGGGAGCGGGCGCGAGCGGAAGCGGGGAAGGAGAGAGGUGGGCCAUGCGGGUGGGGCCCACCCCUUUUUUAUAUUUUUUUUUUAUUUUUAAUCUUUUUCUAUUAAUUUUGAAAAGUAAAUUUUUUUAAAAAUUAAUAUAAUUAUUUUCAUUAUUAUCAAAUCUAAAUAUAUGCGUAUUUUGAAAUAGUUUAGAUUGUAUGUAUUAGAUAUAAAUUUUAAUUUCCUAUGAGAUAGAGGAGAUUGGUUUGAAUUUUCAAACCCCAAAUUACUAGAGGGAAGAGAGAGAGAGAGUUAAAGUAUUAUUAGAUUGACUGAAAUCUCUAAUUAGAAAAUUUGACAAUAAAAGUAAAUUUGAAAGAUUAGAUUUACAUUUUUCAUUCUUAAAAUAUAACCUUGAGUGAGACUUUAAUCAUCGGACUUUAAUGUGUUAUGAUUUAAACUAUGAGGAUGUGAUACUUUUUUCCUCAAAUUUUAAUUAGUUGUAAUUUCUGACUUGAAAAUGAUAUAUCUCAUAUUUCAAGUCAGAAAUUACAACUAAUUAAAGUUUGAGGAUGAUUUUUGCCCUAUUUUUUUAAUUCUUUUUAUUAUUUAAAAAAUAGUUGUUUAUUUCUCAAUUAUUAUUUUUUAUAUAAUUCCUUAACUAUUUUUAUUUUAUUUUAUUUAUUUUUAUAUUUUUAUUAUAGUAAUAGUUGUUUACCACUCAGUUAUUUUUUUUAUAUAAUUUUUUAACGCUUUUUAUUUUAUUUUAUUUAUCUAUUUAUUUUUACAUAAUCAUCUCGCCGCAACACGCGGGUCCUUCACUAGUUUAUCAUUAUGCCUCUUGGAAUCAAUUAAUAUCUUAUAGAGUUUAAUGGUUAGGCUGUAUACAUAUUUUUAUAUAAAGAUUAUCUUUAAUAUAGUGCUUUAAAAAUUGUGUAAGCAAUUUUUAUGAAUUAUGUGUACAAUUAUAUCAGUGGUCCAUUAAAAGAUAGUUUUAUCUAAAGUAUUUGCCAAUCUUUAAGGAACAAAAUAUAGAUUUUUUAAUAUAAAAAAUAGACAGUAAAAAUAUUUACAAUUUUUUUUUCUAUUUUAGCCUAUAAAUAUAUAACAUAUAUAAAAUAUAAUUCUUUAUCUUUUAUAAUCAAGCAAAAUAAUUAGUUGUCAAUUGCAUAUAUUUAAAGCAUAAAAUAGUUAAUCAUUUUAUAAUAUUUUUAUUUUUUAUUUUUUUGGGCUGCUAAGUGCCUCUCACUUUCUCUAACUAACACCUGGCAAUUUAAAGGUCCCAUGAAGUGCAUGGGUUUUUUUGUCUCUUUGCAUUAUAUAGAGAAAAAAAAUAGUAUUUUAUAAUGUAUUAAAAAAAGAAAGAAAGGAAAAAACAAAGUGUGAAAUUGGUAUGUUUAAAAGAUAUUUUAGAGAUGAGUGGAGGCAAAGGACAAUGGUGAGGAGGAGUGGAUGUUUGUGGCUGUGCUCAACUUUUGAAGGUUUUAGUGAUUCCUUUUUGGAGAGCAUGAUGGUUUAUUGGAGGCAAAUGGGGUGAAGGGGACACCUAUGAUUGGGCUUGUUGCUGGAAUGGGAGUAAAAAUGGGUUAAGCUUUUUUUUUAUUAUUAUUAUUUUUAAUAUUUUCACAUGUCGAGCCAAAACAAGGGAAGUGACUAAUCAUGACUCCCAAGGAAAGCACGCCAUGCAAACACAGUUACUUCAAAAAAAAACCUAAAUAUUAACUUCUUUUUUUUUUUUUACUUUUUCUUCCCUAACUUUCAAAAAUUUAUAAUUUACUUUCUUCGUAUUUCAAGUUGUUACAUUUAGCUCCAUCCGUUAGUACGUAUUCUAUUACUAUUCCAUCCAUUUUUUAUAAUUUAUAUAAAAAAUAUUUUUUAAAAUAAUAGAAAAUAUGUUAAAUUUUUAUUUUUUUUUAUAGAAAAGAUAAAAAUAAUUUGGUCAUUUUGUCCUCUCUAUUAACAUCGUAGUUUUCUGAAAAUAUUCCUAAAAUUUUAAGAGUAUAAAAAUAUAGAUUUUCGAAAGUCGGUGAGGAAAAAUAAAAAAGUAGGCAUUUAUAAGAUAAUUUUNUAUGAAAUAGAUGAAACAGCGACAGUACCUAGUAUGCAGGUUCGUAAAAAUCAAAAGAGCAUAAUAAAAAAAGAAAAAACUUCAAAUAUCACUUCCGUGGUUUCUCAUUUUCUUAUUUUAGUACUUUAUGGUUUAAAGUAUAUCACCUUCAUACCCUGUGACAUUAUUUUUUUCUUUUGAUUAUCCCUUUUCACUAAUUUUUUCGUUAAAUCAGUGACAAAUUUAAAACGAAAUAAUAAUAAAGUGAAUAUUCGAUAAACUACAGAUGGGAUAUCUAAAGUUUUUUAUAUAUAAUUUAAUGAAAAGUUAACGGGGGGCUGACGAAAAAAGACAAAUAAGAUUAUAAAAUAAUAAAUUGAUACACUUUAAAUUAUAAAAUACUAAAAUAAGAAUGUGCAAAAUCAAAGGGAUGGUACGUGAAGUUUACCCUAACUAAAAUACUAUUACGCCAACACGGAUCGCGACACGUGCCCCCGCCACACCACCACCGGAGAACGCGACACGUGUCCCCUCGCACCGCCACCCCCACCCCCUUCCCCACACGUGCGAAUCGAAUCAUUACCCCCGCACCUCCGCCCACACGUGCGAACCCAAUCCCCCCAAAUUCGAAUCCAUACCCCCCCACAACCAUCAUUCCCCCACUCACUCUCUCUCUCUCUCUCUCUCUCUCUCUCUCUCUCUCUAGAGCUCGGAGAGCAACAACAAUGGCGGAUUGGGCGCCGGUGGUGGUGGGGGUGGUGCUCUUCGUGCUCCUCUCGCCGGGCCUCCUCAUCGAGUUCCCCGGCUCCCGCCGCCCCCUCGACUUCGGCGGCUUCCGCACCAACGGUAAGGCCGUCUUCUUCCACACCCUCAUCUUCUUCGCCCUCUUCUCCAUCCUCAUCGUCGCCCUCCACCUCCACAUCUACACCGGCUAGGGUUAGGGUUUCUCUUCCCCCCGGGGAGCGAUCGCCGUGGGUUUAGGGUUUCGAGGUGGGAGAUCUCUCUCUCUCUCUCUCUCUCUCUCUCUGGGUUGUUGUGAUGUUGUUGUUUAUGUGAUUUUUGUGGCAUUUAAUCUAAAAAUAGUAAUUAAAGAGACGAGACUCGUUUUGUGAUGAUGCUGUGAAAUAUCAUCUUAUGCAUCUAAUUUUCAAAUUUUAGCUUUUUAUUUGAAUUUUGAAUUUGAUGUUUGUGGUUUAUUAGGUAAUAGAAUUUAAAUUAGUUAUAGCAUAUUAUAAAUAGCUUAUAAAUACUUCUCUAAUAUUUAACUGUGAAUAUAUUAUGUGACAUAUAUUUUAAAAUUGGAUUAAUUUCAUAUGAGUCCCUGCAAAUAUAGUGAAUAAUAAAUAUAUUCCUAAUAAGUUCAACUUUCAUAUGUUGUCCUUAAUAUUUUCAAAUAUAUUCCUGGCGCCGUUAGAAUCUGUUAGAAAAAUUUAGUUAAUCAUAGGUUAAAUACUUAAUCCUGAUUAAUUUUUGACAUUUUUAUUUCUUUUAUAUUAUACUGUUAUGAUAUUUGAAGAGAUAUAUUUAUGACGGCAAAAUUGAAAAUAUAAAUAGUUCUUUAACGGUUCUCUAACGAUAACAAAUCAGAGGGACGUAUUUGAAAAUAUCAAAAUUUUUUUAGGAACAAUAUAUAAAAGUUAAAUUUUGUAAGGAUAAUAUAUUUGUAGUGACCUUUAUGAAAUUAACCCUUUAAAAUUUGUAAGGAUAACUGCAUACAACUUUCUGUAAACAUAUCGAAUAACAAAUAUAUUUUUAUAAAGUUUAAUUUGUUAUUUAUAUUCCUGUAAGAGUACAGUGAUAUUCAUAUUUAUCCCUUUGGUUUGUUACUAUUAAAGUAUUUUUUUUUACAGCAGAUAUAUAAAAUGAUAUUUUUGUCUUUAUAAAUAUAUCACUCCAAAAGCUCCCACUGUUAAAAAUAUUUAGAAUUAUACAAAAAUGUCCUCUCAAAUAAGUAUUUUAUCCAAUAACAUAAGAGGGAUAAAAAAAUUAAUUUAACUUAUUUAUUAAUCAGUGUUAAGUUUUUUUUACUUAUGAUUAACUAUAUUUUUCUAACGAAUCUUAAUCGUAGGGAUAUAUUUGAAAACGUUGGAACUUUUUAGAGAUAAAAAUAAAAAAGUUGAACUUUUUAGUGAUAUAUUUUCUAUUUGAUAUGUUUACAGGAAGCUAUAUGCAAUUAAGGUUUAGUUUGGUAUUGAGACCCAUCUGAUACUAUUAGACAAAAUUGAGUUCGGAUAAAAGCAUAUAGGAAUAUGUUUUUGCAUUCUUUGGUGGGAUCGCAGAAAAUAUAUCGUAAUUGACUCAUCGCGAUAUGCGGAACGUAAAAUUACUUACGAAAAUAAAUAUAAUAUUUUUUUAUCGUACUUUUUGACUGUGCGUAAAGCAAUGGUAGGAUUUUUGUGGUUGUCCUUUGUUGAAAUGUCCAUAUGAACUUUAUAAUUGUGUGGUUUAGCCUGUUUAGUCAUGGAUCAAUGAUAGCAUGCUCUUUCUCAUUAAUUCUCAAAAUUUGACCUGUGACAAGUACAUUGAGUAUUAGUUCAUUUUUGUAUAAGAUUUUCAAUAAUACAGAAAAUUAGGAGUUUAAUUUUCUUUUCUCUUUAAAAGUUGGUGUCAUCUAUAAUUUGAUAGAAUGGUAUAUUUCUUAUUUUAUUUUAAAAAUAAUAAUAAUUUGAAGGUUGAACAUAAUAUCCAUUCUGAAUACUUAAUCCUACAUCUCACUUUUAAAAAUAUUUUUUUUUAGUUUUAAAUUUUUUUUAAAGAAAUUAUCAUCUAUCAUUUGGACAUGUGUAUUGCAAGCUAAUCAAUUAUUAUAGUAAGAGAGAUUUUUUUUUUAAUCAAUAUAUCAAAUUAUAUAUUAAUUAGUGUUUAAAAAAAUAAAAAAAAAUAUCAAUUGUGCCAAGCAAGUCCUUUUUUUUAUCUUAUUUAUGGCUGUUGAUAUAAUUCUAUUCCAUUUAUGUGAUUUAUUUAUCAACAUUUUGUGGCUUUGAGUUAUGUAAGCAUCUGAUUCCACAAAAUUGGGCCAGUUCCUGAAACAAAAGAUACUCGGGGUAUAUCUGCAAAUUGCAGUGAAUUUGAACAAAUAUUUGUAUUUCGUUAUCUAAAGUUUAAAAAAUUUUAAUUUAACAUCUAAACAAUCAAUAUGAAUUUCCGUGAAAUCCUCUAAACAGUGUUAACAAGUUGCAGAUGGUAGAUUUAAACUUUUCAAAUUUAUUUAUUUAUUUAUUUUUUUGAGAGAUAGAUAGCCCGUUACCUACUUGCUCUAGGAACGGUCGGUUUUUCAAAUUUCAAAUGAUGAAUUAUUUACGUGUGAAAAUUAGUUUCGAGGCUCUUGUUCCAGAAUCUAAUCGUAUAGUACGAUUAAAAUAUGCAUUACUCAUAAGUUCUUUGUGAAUCGUAACCGUUAACCAACUAUCUCAAAAGCACGUGCUGAUAGGAAUGACAUAUCCAUCAUACUUAAGGGCUCAGUCAUAGCGCUCGUGGGACCUUCACUCAACUUAUAUUAGGCUCACGUAAUUCAACUUAUUAGUUUUCUGAGCUUAUUGAUUUUGACCUAUUUCAAUCCAUCUGAAUGUUGGGUUUAUUAUUGGGCCUUUUGUUGUUAGGUCUUUUGUGGACUACACCUUCACUCAACUUAUUAGGCUCAUCCAACUCAACUUAUUAAUCUUCUAGGCCUAUUGUUACAGGGCAGGAUAUUGGACAUAUUUUAGCCCAAUAGCCAACAAUCCCUCCCAACACCUGCAUCGUUAAUGCAGCAUGUGGGAAUCGAACCCGCGCCAUCGAUUCUAAUACCACCUGUGGAUCGUAAGCAUUAACCAACUAUCUCGAAAGCACGUGCUGAUAAAAAGGUCGCACCCAUCGCAUUUAAAGGCUCAAUCACAGCGCUCGCGGGCUUCGGCCUGACUCAAUCCACCUAGACGUAGAGUCGAUUGUCGGGUUUCUUACCGUUAGGUCUUUUGUGGAUAACACAUCGAUUCAACUUAUUAGACUCAUCCAACUCAACUUAUUAAUCUCUCGGGCCUAUUGUCACGGGACAAGAUGUUGGACCUAUUUUUGUCCAAUAAUAAAUAGCCAACACUCUUCUGAGGGAUCAACACUAAGUUAGCUUCGGGAUCUGCUUUGGUGCCAUUAGAUAUAAUUUAAAGUAUUCAUAAGCAAAAGAAAUCGAGACAAUACAAAAUUCGAUGAUUUUUUAAACAAGAAGAUACAAAAGUAAUGUAGUUUCAUUUCAAAUUAAGAUUAUGAACACAAGAUUUGGUUUGAGUUCAAUUUGUAAUGCAACACUUACCAGAUGCAUCACUUGAAGAGAAGUUUACAACUAAAGGUCACCAAGGAUUAGAGGAAACUGAACAAUCUUAAGAUAUCAUCAGCCCGCGUGCACGUGAACGCCAAUCGCGACGACGAGGAUGGUGAGGAUCGCGAAGAAGAUGAUGGCGUGGACGAGGAUCGAGAUGCCGCUCGUGUACAUGUUCCCGAACUCGAUGAUUCUCGUCCUCGACGGCAGCUGAAACAAGAGCCCUGGCGAGAGGAGGAUGAAGAGGACCACCGCGACGAUCACGGGACCCCAAUCCGUCGACAUGUCGAAACAACUUCUCCUCUUUCUCCUUCUCCUCCUUCUUUAACUUUGCGAUCGAGAAAGCGAUUUAAAGUUGAUUUAUUCUUGUUCUUCUUCUUUAGUUAAGCAAGUUUAUACUAAAGGGUGGUAGAGUGAAGCACAAGUGUGUGUGUGUGUGUGUGUGUUUGAGAGAGAGAGAGAGAGAGAGAGAGAGAGAGAGAGAGAGAGGGGGUAACUUCUUUUUCUCCCCCAUUCCCUUUUUAGAGUUAGUGGAAAUAAUACAUGCAUGCUUUACACUAAUGCAUGCACUUUGUGACUUUCUCACAAAG
This 21006-nucleotide long non-coding RNA is filed under the name Ananas comosus (pineapple). RNAcentral's name for it is "long non-coding RNA (ACOM_LNC030090)". The record is from RNAcentral. Lineage: Eukaryota; Viridiplantae; Streptophyta; Magnoliopsida; Poales; Bromeliaceae.